RNAcentral lists this ribosomal RNA (253 nucleotides) under uncultured bacterium. RNAcentral describes it as "partial 16S ribosomal RNA". It matches the Rfam family "Bacterial small subunit ribosomal RNA", at positions 524 to 776 of the family's 1533-position model. The record is from RNAcentral.
UACGGGGGGGGCAAGCGUUGUUCGGAAUUACUGGGCGUAAAGGGCGCGUAGGUGGCCAACUAAGUCAGACGUGAAAUCCCUCGGCUUAACCGGGGAACUGCGUCUGAUACUGGAUGGCUUGAGUUUGGGAGAGGGACGCGGAAUUCCAGGUGUAGCGGUGAAAUGCGUAGAUAUUCGCAAGAACACCAGUGGCGAAGGCGGCUGACUGGACCAUUACUGACGCUGAGGCGCGAAAGCGUGGGGAGCAAACAGG